Molecule: ribosomal RNA, 253 nt
Filed under: uncultured bacterium
Lineage: Bacteria
Description: partial 16S ribosomal RNA
Rfam family: Bacterial small subunit ribosomal RNA
Source: RNAcentral
UACGGAGGGUGCGAGCGUUAACCGGAAUUACUGGGCGUAAAGCGCACGCAGGCGGUUUGUUAAGCUAGAUGUGAAAGCCCCGGGCUCAACCUGGGAUGGUCAUUUAGAACUGGCAGACUAGAGUCUUGGAGAGGGGAGUGGAAUUCCAGGUGUAGCGGUGAAAUGCGUAGAUAUCUGGAGGAACAUCAGUGGCGAAGGCGACUCCCUGGCCAAAGACUGACGCUCAUGUGCGAAAGUGUGGGUAGCGAACAGG